This 2502-nucleotide long non-coding RNA is filed under the name Lotus japonicus. Its description in RNAcentral is "long non-coding RNA (LJAP_LNC001702)". Lineage: Eukaryota; Viridiplantae; Streptophyta; Magnoliopsida; Fabales; Fabaceae. The record is from RNAcentral.
AAAACUUUGCCAAAUCGUUGUAGUUGCUCCUCCGCCCAAUCAACGUUCCAGAUUGAUUUCCUACUUACACGUGUCCAUCAUCAAAUAGCCCAACAUUGAAUUAAGCUCAAUCGAGGUUCAUCCAAUCCUACAUUCCCUGGACGAGAAAAAGAUCGAGUGCUCCUCUCCUCACGCACCUUACCCUAUCAUAUGAAUCUCUCCUCUCUUUGAAAACCGUUCGGCGUUCACCACCGCCGGAAAGAUUCUCCGAUUAGGGUUCCGGCUAUCUCUGAUUAUACCGAUCGCCGUACCUUCCCGAAGCUCAAUUGCUACUAUCAGUAUUGUGAUUUCACCCUUUGCCUAGGUAACGCAAUAACGCAAUUCCUGAGCUUGAAUGUUGGAAAUUGUUUAAUUUUUUCUUUGAAUUUUUUUGGUAAAUAGUAAAUACCUUUUGUUUGAUAGGUAUUGAGCAUUGUAUAUUCUUCUUAAUUAAUUUUUUUUAAUUUUAUUGGAUUUGUUUUUCCUUUGUUUCUUUGUUGAUCUUGAAGGAUGUGUGUGAACUGUGCAUGCUUGUUGCAGGAAAUGCUUUGAAUCACUUUGGAAACUAAGAUAAAUUGUUACUUGAGAAUCAGCUGCAGGAUUUUUCAGGGAUAUUUUUCACAUGCAAGAGUUCAAGCAAAUGGUAUUUGUAGUUAUUAGUUAUAUCUGGAUUGAAUAGAUUCUGCCUUGUUUGUUCUUUCUUUCAGCUUGCAUUAUGUUAGUUUUUAGGAGUUAAGUCUAAUCAAGUUCGAGUUGGAUAGUAAAUGUUGCUUGGUGCUGUUGUGUGUGUGUGUUUGUUUGGAAAUUGGAAUCAUUAUGAUGCUUCCUUGCCCUUUUGGAGAGGGGGUUUUGAGGAUUUGAGGUGUAUGAAGUAUAAGGUAUACACAAAUGACAUGGGGCGAGGUUAUUCUAUGACUAUUCACGUAAUUAUGACUGCGGCUAAUUGAGACAAAGAGAAAAGUGACGUAAAUAUAAUUUGCUUUUUGCAAGAACCUCUACUUCACGCCAGUGGCCGUAAAAAAGGAAAGGAAGCAUGUUGACCUGCUAUCUAAGCCCAUAUCCACAUCCUACCCUCGAUACUUGCACAUUUUUUGAAAGAAAGCAGCUAGCUGUGCUAGCAUGUUAAGUAAAUGGUAGCAGAGUCUUGGAGGAAUAAAGCGAUGUUCUGUCUUCCGUUUCCUACUAUUUUUCCCUUAAGUAGUUCUGUCUUGUCCUUAUAGUGGUUAUGAGACUUGUAUCUAAAGCAAAAGGGAUUGGGGCAGGUUUAUCAUUUUAAUAUGCUUAAGAAUACCAUGUUGCAAAAAAUGAGGCACUUGAUUCUCAUCAAUGUUUGUGUUACUCAAGCCGACAUUUUCGCUUUCACUUCAUCCACUAUUACUCGCGCUAGUCCUUCUCUAUAGGGCGGAACGCUUCCCUACCGAUUCAUUUGUUGAAAUACAAAUAUUAUACAAAAUAGUACUUGGGUUUUUUAUUCCCUUCUUUAAAAAAUUGUAUUCUCACUAUUAAAAUGUGAUUCUUAUAAUGGAUUUCGAUUGCACCAUUCAAAGAAAUAAAUCAAGUUAUUCCUUGGAUACCUUCUUUCUUUUAGUUUUUCUCAACUCAUUUUUUUUUUCAAAUUAAAAGAAAAAGUAUCAACAGAUAUUAUUCAAGAAUAAAGUAUUUUGAAUCAAUUAAUGAAGUUCAUUUUUUGAAACAUUAGGAAAGAAAAUGAAUUGGAGUUUGUUUUUGAAACAUAGGAAAAAAGAUCCCCUAUCCAUUAAGUCAUGUUAUACGCUCUCAUGAAAUCCUCACAAACAUAAUAAAAUUGCAAUCAAUUUGAUAAUGAUCGGGUGACAUUACUUUACCUGCUCGAACCAAACAAAAUCUCUUAAAUUAUUAAAUAUGAAUAAAAAUAGAUUGAUUUGAUUAGAAUAUUUUGAAUGCAAGUUCUUGUUGGGAAAAAAAUUGCUUGACAUUAAUAGAAUCUUCAUGACUUUUUUGUCCACAAUUUUUUUUUACAUUAUCACGUGUAUUACUAUUAUACGUUGUAUAUUCACCCAGUUGAAACUACAUGGAAAAGAAAACUUUGCCAAAUCGUUGUAGUUGCUCCUCCGCCCAAUCAACGUUCCAGAUUGAUUUCCUACUUACACGUGUCCAUCAUCAAAUAGCCCAACAUUGAAUUAAGCUCAAUCGAGGUUCAUCCAAUCCUACAUUCCCUGGACGAGAAAAAGAUCGAGUGCUCCUCUCCUCACGCACCUUACCCUAUCAUAUGAAUCUCUCCUCUCUUUGAAAACCGUUCGGCGUUCACCACCGCCGGAAAGAUUCUCCGAUUAGGGUUCCGGCUAUCUCUGAUUAUACCGAUCGCCGUACCUUCCCGAAGCUCAAUUGCUACUAUCAGUAUUGUGAUUUCACCCUUUGCCUAGGUAACGCAAUAACGCAAUUCCUGAGCUUGAAUGUUGGAAAUUGUUUAAUUUUUUCUUUGAAUUUUUUUGGUAAAUAGUAAAU